This 76-nucleotide transfer RNA is filed under the name bacterium. RNAcentral's name for it is "tRNA-Pro". It matches the Rfam family "tRNA". From Rfam's summary of the family: Transfer RNA (tRNA) molecules are approximately 80 nucleotides in length. Their secondary structure includes four short double-helical elements and three loops (D, anti-codon, and T loops). The record is from RNAcentral. RNAcentral also lists the same sequence under 3 other names.
CGGAGCGUAGCGCAGCCCGGUUUAGCGCACCAGCAUGGGGGGCUGGGGGUCGCUGGUUCAAAUCCAGUCGCUCCGA